GAAGGAUGGUCCAAAAGUAGCUGAGGCAAAGAAAAAAUAUUUUCAUUAUCAUAUUAAAGGCCACUGGAGGAGAAACUGUUUGAAAUACUUGGAGAGCCUAAAGACCAAAAAGGGUGACAAACCUUUUGAAGGUAUGCUCAUAAUUGAAUCUAACCUUACAAUUUCUUCUACUUCUAGUUAGAUAUUGGAUUCUGAUUCGAGUGCUCAUAUAUGUACCUCAAUAUAGGGUC
RNAcentral lists this long non-coding RNA (230 nucleotides) under Elaeis guineensis (African oil palm). Its description in RNAcentral is "long non-coding RNA (EGUI_LNC052254)". Lineage: Eukaryota; Viridiplantae; Streptophyta; Magnoliopsida; Arecales; Arecaceae. The record is from RNAcentral.